GGGAGAGUAGCUCAGCUGGUAGAGCAGGGUCUGACAGACCCGAGCGGUGGUUCGAAUCCACCCUUGUUCCU
Molecule: transfer RNA, 71 nt
Filed under: Fusarium oxysporum f. sp. lycopersici MN25
Lineage: Eukaryota; Fungi; Ascomycota; Sordariomycetes; Hypocreales; Nectriaceae
Description: tRNA-Val (GAC) (tRNA-Val-GAC-3-1)
Rfam family: tRNA
About the family: Transfer RNA (tRNA) molecules are approximately 80 nucleotides in length.
Source: RNAcentral